RNAcentral lists this ribosomal RNA (381 nucleotides) under Dictyocoela roeselum. RNAcentral's name for it is "SSU rRNA". It matches the Rfam family "Microsporidia small subunit ribosomal RNA", at positions 53 to 394 of the family's 1311-position model. Lineage: Eukaryota; Fungi; Microsporidia. The record is from RNAcentral.
UGUGUAAGCGAAGCGAUAUGUGGAGCGGUGAAAGGCUCAGUAACGGGCGAUUUAUUUGAUCUCCUGGGACGGACAACAUCGGGAAACUGAUGGGAAAACGUCUAAGUUGCAGUAUAUUUAUUGUGACGUAAACCUUUGUGUGCAGGAGAGUAAGAUGCCAUCCUAUCAGUUAGUAAGUAGGGUAAGGGCCUACUUAGACGAAGACGGGUACGGGGAAUGAGGGUUUGAUUCCGGAGAGGGAGCCUGAGAGAUGGCUACCAGGACCAAGGUCAGCAGCAGGCGCGAAAAUUAUCGAAGCCCGCCUAGGGGCGAUAGUGAGGAGACGUGUAUACGAAGUACGUGUAAAGACCGUACUAAUAACUGGAGGUCAAGUCUGGUGCC